AUUGAACGCUGGCGGCGUGCUUAACACAUGCAAGUCGUGCGGUAACAGGCGUAGCAAUACGUGCUGACGAGCGGCGAACGGGUGCGUAAUACAUGGGAAUCUGCCCUUUAGUGGGGAAUAACCCGGCGAAAGCCGGGCUAAUGCCGCAUAAGAUCUCCGGAUGAAAGCGGGGGACCGUAAGGCCUCGCGCUGAUGGAUGAGCCCAUGUCGGAUUAGCUAGUUGGUGAGGUAACGGCUCACCAAGGCGACGAUCCGUAGCUGGUCUGAGAGGACGGCCAGCCACACUGGGACUGAGACACGGCCCAGACUCCUACGGGAGGCAGCAGUGGGGAAUAUUGGACAAUGGGGGAAACCCUGAUCCAGCGACGCCGCGUGUGUGAAGAAGG
This 386-nucleotide ribosomal RNA is filed under the name uncultured bacterium. RNAcentral describes it as "bacterial SSU rRNA". It matches the Rfam family "Bacterial small subunit ribosomal RNA", at positions 29 to 414 of the family's 1533-position model. The record is from RNAcentral.